GCCCCUGUAGCUCAGAGGUAGAGCAGUGCCCUCCUAAGGCAAAGGCCGCGGGUUCAAAUCCCGUCUGGGGUU
This is a transfer RNA of Linderina pennispora, 72 nucleotides long. It matches the Rfam family "tRNA". Rfam says of the family: Transfer RNA (tRNA) molecules are approximately 80 nucleotides in length. Their secondary structure includes four short double-helical elements and three loops (D, anti-codon, and T loops). The record is from Rfam. Lineage: Eukaryota; Fungi; Kickxellomycota; Kickxellomycetes; Kickxellales; Kickxellaceae.